CAGAAAGGCCUCAGCCUCAUUAAAAGUAUUUUAAACUGUCUAGAUAUUUUUCACUUAUCAAGUCGCCUCUUUCACACCAUAAGUAUGAAUAACCUGGUAGUUUCUUUCUUUAAAAAUCUGAUCAUAGCAAUGUGUUUGCUGACGAUAUUCUUGAAUCAACAAGGAGUAGAGUCUCGCAGUAUUUCAGAGCGCGAGAGGACAAUGAAUGAGUUACCCUUCUAUCCGUCAAUGCCUGAGAAACGCAUGCCGGUAACGUCGCUUGAUCCGGCGUGCCUAGGCACGUACGACGCUGGUGCCUACAAGAGGCUAAACCAAGUGUGUGAAGACUGCUUCUACCUCUACUACGAUGAGGAAUUCACCAGGCGCUGCAAGAGCCAGUGCUUCACAACCCCCGCGUUCACGGCCUGCGCGGCGGAUUUGCUAGCCGACGUCGAGGCUCAUCAGGCGAUGGCGAACCGCCUGCACUCCAAGACGGGUUAACUCAUGUCGCUAUAACUUCUCUUCAGACCCAGCAACCAAUGGCACUACGAGCUUCAGCUUUUCAGCACCAAAAUAAAACGUCACUUUCACCACCUCAUGGAACCGAAAGUUCAUGUCAAUUCUUUUGCCGUCACCCAGCCUGGUCAUCCAACUUUUGUUUUUGCUUGCGACACACUGACACAUCCGGCGAUAAUUGACACAUCCGGCGAUUUUGUGUCGACCAACCGUAUCCUUGCUUACGGCGGUAUUUUUUUUUUUUUUUGUUUGCUAAAGCGCAAAGCAAAAUCUUUCAAGACGAGGUAGCAGCUUGGAGGCUAGUCAGUCAUUUGUGUGCAGCUAAUUUAGUCAUUGGUGUUCAGCUAAUCCAUGAUAUCCUCGAAUUACUUAUUAAUAUCCGAGCAACAUAACAGUUCUAAUGUUUGGGAACCCAUAAUAUUUAACACUUAUCGCUCUAUGUCCAAUAACCAGGAGUGAGUUGCGACUUCCUAAAUUUGUUGUAAACUGAAAUUCUUCAUCAACUUUAGCUUCGGAUAAAAAUCUUACGCAUUGUUUAGAAAUCUAUUCGUAGAUUUUGAGGUAAAAAGCCUUUAAAUUUUUCAUGCAGAUAUAUAACGGUUGUAUAGCUACAAAAUAAAGUAUUUUAUCAAUAGGGUGAUGUUCUUGUUAGGCAGCUACUUAGUAGUAAGUGGAAAAGAGAGGUUGAUUGUUCAGUUUAACCAAAGGUUGGUUUGUUGGUGGUGAGUGACGAUGAUGGACGAGUCAGACAUUGUUUGUGAUCAGUGAUGAUGAUGGACGAGUCAAAGUUAAUCGACCGACAUAGUCAAGCGCCCUACUUUGUUACUAGAUGUUUGAAUGAAACGCAAGACAGCCUUUGAGUCGGAGCGCUUGUCUUUAAAAUAAAAAAUUGUUAUUAUCGUUAAAUAAUUCCAUUACGCUUACAAAGUAUAAUGAAUUAUAAUUUUAUUUUUAACUAGGCUUGACAAUUUCUCAGUGCAGCUAACUCUUCACUCUCCUUAUUUCACAUCCGCCCUAUCACAAGUCAGCGCCUAACGCAUGAAUUUAUUUUGCUACACAGAAAAUGUUUGCGGUAUUUCAGUUUCCUAAUGAUCCUAGAAUUUUACGACAGUAUUACGGCCAAUUUUACGACAGUAUCACGGCAAAGUACUUUCGUUUAUGACAUGCAUUCCCGCCAGAUUUUAUAACCCACGCGGUACUCGUGUCUCUUAAUUGAAGUAAUCUCUAUGUAUAUAUCGGUUGAGUUCCUAUUAUCUAGUUAAAUUUAAUACGAAGCACUCAUUUUUGAAGGAAGUUCUAUAAUAUAAAUUUAGACUCGGUGUUCGAAGAUAUAGAUAAUAUUAUAUAAUAUUUGUAUUGGACGACUAUUAGAUGUGCAGCUGCGUUCCUCUCGGGGUCUCAAAGCCAUUCAAAAACUUCGAUUUUCCUGCACAUUUUAUCACAUAUUUAGAAAUGGAAGAGCGUGGGAAAUUAUCCGAGAUUUAAAAAACCUUAAUGUUAUUUAUGCGGCUUAACGUCAAAAUUUCCCAGACGGUAAAAUAAAUUGUAGCGAUUCUUUUCGGCAUUUCCUUAUUUCUACUUUCGCUUGAACUACGACCAAUAAAAUUUAAUAAUAAUUGCAGUAAUACGAGGCACGUUGAUUUCGUCUUAAGUCAGCUGUCGAUGUUUAGCUUUUAUUAAAUAUUGAUUUUUGAUAAUGACAUGCGUUGCCCUGCCAUUACAUGCGACUAACUUAUGUUUUUAAAUGUCUCUUACGAAUUGAAUGCAAGUGCGCUGGUGACAUGAAAAGAUGCAGUGAAGUGCAUGCACGGUUGAUGAAUCACGAAUUAUUUGACUCCAUUGUUGGAUUUUCUUUUAUUAUUAAAUGAACAAAAGGCCAAAGAUAUUAUAAGGAUUAUUAUGUCUCAGAAAUACAAGAUACAUGCUUAA
Molecule: long non-coding RNA, 2424 nt
Organism: Hyalella azteca
Lineage: Eukaryota; Metazoa; Arthropoda; Malacostraca; Amphipoda; Hyalellidae
Exons: 3
Source: RefSeq, a predicted model, not a curated record